CAGUAGCCGCGGGAAUACGGAGGGAGCUAGCGUUGUUCGGAAUUACUGGGCGUAAAGCGCGCGUAGGCGGUUACUCAAGUCAGAGGUGAAAGCCCGGGGCUCAACCCCGGAACUGCCUUUGAAACUAGGUGACUAGAAUCUUGGAGAGGUCAGUGGAAUUCCGAGUGUAGAGGUGAAAUUUGUAGAUAUUCGGAAGAACACCAGUGGCGAAGGCGACUGACUGGACAAGUAUUGACGCUGAGGUGCGAAAGCGUGGGGAGCAAACAGGAUUAGAUACCCCAGUAGUCCCUGUCUCUUAUAA
This 301-nucleotide ribosomal RNA is filed under the name uncultured bacterium. RNAcentral's name for it is "partial 16S ribosomal RNA". It matches the Rfam family "Bacterial small subunit ribosomal RNA", at positions 509 to 809 of the family's 1533-position model. The record is from RNAcentral.